This 587-nucleotide ribosomal RNA is filed under the name uncultured bacterium. RNAcentral's name for it is "partial 16S ribosomal RNA". It matches the Rfam family "Bacterial small subunit ribosomal RNA", at positions 355 to 1375 of the family's 1533-position model. The record is from RNAcentral.
UGGGGAAUUUUGGACAAUGGGCGAAAGCCUGAUCCAGCAAUGCCGCGUGUGUGAAGAAGGCCUUCGGGUUGUAAAGCACUUUUGUCCGGAAAGAAAUCCUUGGCUCUAAUACAGUCGGGGGAUGACGGUACCGGAAGAAUAAGCACCGGCUAACUACGUGCCAGCAGCCGCGGUAAUACGUAGGGUGCAAGCGUUAAUCGGAAUUACUGGGCGUAAAGCGUGCGCAGGCGGUUUGCUAAGACCGAUGUGAAAUCCCCGGGCUCAACCUGGGAACUGCAUUGGUGACUGGCAGGCUAGAGUAUGGCAGAGGGGGGUAGAAUUCCACGUGUAGCAGUGAAAUGCGUAGAGAUGUGGAGGAAUACCGAUGGCGAAGGCAGCCCCCUGGGCCAAUACUGACGCUCAUGCACGAAAGCGUGGGGGAGCAAACAGGAUUAGAUACCCUGGUAGUCCACGCCCUAAACGAUGUCAACUAGUUGUUGGGGGAUUCAUUUCCUUAGUAACGUAGCUAACGCGUGAAGUUGACCGCCUGGGGAGUACGGUCGCAAGAUUAAAACUCAAAGGAAUUGACGGGGUCAUAGCUGUUUCCU